GACAGAGGGUGCAAACGUUGUUCGGAAUUACUGGGCAUAAAGAGCACGUAGGUGGUUCGCUAAGUCACGUGUGAAAUCCCCCGGCUCAACCGGGGAAUUGCGCGUGAUACUGACGAACUCGAGGCGGGUAGGGGUGAGCGGAACUCCAGGUGGAGCGGUGAAAUGCGUAGAUAUCUGGAGGAACACCGGUGGCGAAAGCGGCUCACUGGACCCGAUCUGACACUGAGGUGCGAAAGCUAGGGUAGCAAACGGG
This 253-nucleotide ribosomal RNA is filed under the name uncultured bacterium. Its description in RNAcentral is "partial 16S ribosomal RNA". It matches the Rfam family "Bacterial small subunit ribosomal RNA", at positions 524 to 776 of the family's 1533-position model. The record is from RNAcentral.